CUUCCGUAGGUGAACCUGCGGAGGGAUCAUUACAGAGUUAUCCAACUCCCAAACCCAUGUGAACUUAUCUCUUUGUUGCCUCGGCGCAAGCUACCCGGGACCUCGCGCCCCGGGCGGCCCGCCGGCGGACAAACCAAAACUCUUGUUAUCUUAGUUGAUUAUCUGAGUGUCUUAUUUAAUAAGUCAAAACUUUCAACAACGGAUCUCUUGGUUCUGGCAUCGAUGAAGAACGCAGCGAAAUGCGAUAAGUAAUGUGAAUUGCAGAAUUCAGUGAAUCAUCGAAUCUUUGAACGCACAUUGCGCCCAUUAGUAUUCUAGUGGGCAUGCCUGUUCGAGCGUCAUUUCAACCCCUAAGCACAGCUUAUUGUUGGGAACCUACGGCUUCGUAGUUCCUCAAAGACAUUGGCGGAGUGGCAGUGGUCCUCUGAGCGUAGUAAUCUUUUAUCUCGCUUCUGUUAGGUGCUGCCCCCCCGGCCGUAAAACCCCCAAUUUUUUCUGGUUGACCUCGGAUCAGGUAGGAAUACCCGCUGAACUUAAGCAUAUCAAUAAGCGGAGGAA
Molecule: ribosomal RNA, 558 nt
Filed under: Nigrospora sphaerica
Lineage: Eukaryota; Fungi; Ascomycota; Sordariomycetes; Amphisphaeriales; Apiosporaceae
Description: eukaryotic LSU rRNA
Rfam family: 5.8S ribosomal RNA (bases 188-341)
Source: RNAcentral